Molecule: transfer RNA, 76 nt
Filed under: Siansivirga zeaxanthinifaciens CC-SAMT-1
Lineage: Bacteria; Pseudomonadati; Bacteroidota; Flavobacteriia; Flavobacteriales; Flavobacteriaceae
Description: tRNA-Lys
Rfam family: tRNA
About the family: Transfer RNA (tRNA) molecules are approximately 80 nucleotides in length.
Source: RNAcentral
GACCUGGUAGCUCAGCUGGUAGAGCAUUUCACUUUUAAUGAAAGGGUCCUGGGUUCGAAUCCCAGCCCGGUCACAA